This 865-nucleotide small RNA is filed under the name Pongo abelii (Sumatran orangutan). RNAcentral's name for it is "retained intron". The record is from RNAcentral. Lineage: Eukaryota; Metazoa; Chordata; Mammalia; Primates; Hominidae.
GUGAUCAUAUGAAGAAGGGUCCUACCAGGCCACCUAGACCAAGCACGCCAGACCUUUCUAAGGCAAGGGGUUCCCCUCCAACUUCCAGUAAUAUUGUGCAAGGACAGAUUAAACAAGGUUGGAGUCAGUUAGCUGCUAUGCACUGUGUUAUGCUGCCAGACCUACUGGGAUUGGAUAAAUUUAGGCCUCCCCUUCUGGAGAUGCUGGCCCGAAGAUGGCAAGAUCGAUGCUUGGAGGUGAGAGAAGCCGCGCAGGCCCUGCUUCUGGCGGAACUGAGAAGAAUUGAGCAGGCAGGCAGGAAGGAAGCCAUCGAUGCCUGGGCUCCUUACUUACCUCAGUACAUAGACCACGUCAUAUCACGUAAGAGUUCUCAUGCUUCUGUACAAAGCUUUGCAGGAAUAUGUAGAGAAGGUACCUAUACUCACAAAUAUAUAUGCUACUACCCAUCAACAAAAAUGAGUCACUGACCUUAAAGUGAAAAGAACAGAUCCUCAGAUUUACUCUAUUAUUUUCUGAAUCUCUGUAGUUUGGAACUUCUUUAAAAAACAAAAGGCAAAGGCUGUCUAUAUCAAAAUAUUCAUUAAUGAACUGACUUUUAUAAAUGAAUUCCCCAUCAAACAUCCUACUCUAGUACUAACAUGUGCCUCUGCCCAUUGCAUUAUGCUUAUGGAUGCCAGUUUGUUCAAUAUUGAUCUGAUGAUAUGCAAGUGCAGAUACAAGGCAAACUCUCUUGCUGGUUGAAGUUGGGAUUGUGAGUCCUUAAAAGACAAAGAUCUGAUAGUUAGACUCAUGCACUAUUUACAAAGAGAAAAUUGGGAAGGAUUUUGAUGGAUAGAUCUUUCAAAAGAGUAUAAUUUGAAAGGAU